GCCGGGGUGGUGAAAUUGGUAGACGCGCUGGACUCAAAAUCCAGUGGACUUCGGUCCGUGCGAGUUCGAGUCUCGCCCCCGGCACCA
RNAcentral lists this transfer RNA (87 nucleotides) under Desulfonauticus autotrophicus. Its description in RNAcentral is "tRNA-Leu". It matches the Rfam family "tRNA". Rfam says of the family: Transfer RNA (tRNA) molecules are approximately 80 nucleotides in length. Their secondary structure includes four short double-helical elements and three loops (D, anti-codon, and T loops). Further hydrogen bonds mediate the characteristic L-shaped molecular structure. tRNAs have two regions of fundamental functional importance: the anti-codon, which is responsible for specific mRNA codon recognition, and the 3' end, to which the tRNAs corresponding amino acid is attached (by aminoacyl-tRNA synthetases). tRNAs cope with the degeneracy of the genetic code in two manners: having more than one tRNA (with a specific anti-codon) for a particular amino acid; and 'wobble' base-pairing, i.e. permitting non-standard base-pairing at the 3rd anti-codon position. Lineage: Bacteria; Pseudomonadati; Thermodesulfobacteriota; Desulfovibrionia; Desulfovibrionales; Desulfonauticaceae. The record is from RNAcentral. RNAcentral also lists the same sequence under 1 other name.